This 475-nucleotide long non-coding RNA is filed under the name Vitis vinifera (wine grape). Its description in RNAcentral is "long non-coding RNA (VVIN_LNC002261)". Lineage: Eukaryota; Viridiplantae; Streptophyta; Magnoliopsida; Vitales; Vitaceae. The record is from RNAcentral.
AGUUUUUUCCAUUUCUACUUCGUUUUCCACACCUUUCAACUUAGACUCGCCAGCUCCUUCCCUUUAUUUUCUUUGCUCGUGCCUACCUUUCCAGAAGUGAAGAAACUCCCUUGUAGGUUCCUGCACAUUAGGCCAUUGCUAUUAUCCUCACGCUCCUUUGAAUGGCAGUCAAAACAAAACUCUAUAUAAAUUGGACACCCACUUCACCCUUUUGCAUAUCCAUCAAACAAUACAUUCUCUAAUUCUCUGCAGAUACAUACCAAUAUCAGGUAGAUAUGGCUAGAGCACUCAAAUUUGUGAGCUUCCUCUUCCUUGUUCUGGUGUUGAACUCCAUUGCCAUCCAUGGCCGCCCCUUUAAUGUGUUGAAGAAGCCGCGAGGCCCUGAUGGUGAGGAGAUGAGGGGAUUCUUUGAUGGGUUGUCUCUUGGAGCCAUCAAGCAAUCAGGACCAAGCCCUGGUAAUGGACACAAAUUCAC